This 723-nucleotide ribosomal RNA is filed under the name uncultured Fusobacterium sp. RNAcentral describes it as "bacterial SSU rRNA". It matches the Rfam family "Bacterial small subunit ribosomal RNA", at positions 28 to 776 of the family's 1533-position model. Lineage: Bacteria; Fusobacteriati; Fusobacteriota; Fusobacteriia; Fusobacteriales; Fusobacteriaceae. The record is from RNAcentral.
GAUGAACGCUGACAGAAUGCUUAACACAUGCAAGUCGACUCGAGUCUUCGGACUUGGGUGGCGCACAGGUGAGUAACGCGUAAAGAACUUGCCUCUUAGACCGGAACAACAUCUGGAAACGGAUGCUAAUACCGGAUAUUAUGGUUUUUUCGCAUGGAGGAAUCAUGAAAGCUAGAUGCGCUAAGAGAGAGCUUUGCGUCCCAUUAGCUGGUUGGUGAGGUAACGGCCCACCAAGGCAAUGAUGGGUAGCCGGCCUGAGAGGGUGAACGGCCACAAGGGGACUGAGACACGGCCCUUACUCCUACGGGAGGCAGCAGUGGGGAAUAUUGGACAAUGGACCACAAGUCUGAUCCAGCAAUUCUGUGUGCACGAUGACGUUUUUCGGAAUGUAAAGUGCUUUCAGUCGGGAAGAAGUCAGUGACGGUACCGACAGAAGAAGCGACGGCUAAAUACGUGCCAGCAGCCGCGGUAAUACGUAUGUCGCAAGCGUUAUCCGGAUUUAUUGGGCGUAAAGCGCGUCUAGGCGGCAAGGAAAGUCUGAUGUGAAAAUGCGGAGCUCAACUCCGUAUGGCGUUGGAAACUGCCUUACUAGAGUACUGGAGAGGUAGGCGGAACUACAAGUGUAGAGGUGAAAUUCGUAGAUAUUUGUAGGAAUGCCGAUGGGGAAGCCAGCCUACUGGACAGAUACUGACGCUAAGCGCGAAAGCGUGGGUAGCAAACAGG